Molecule: ribosomal RNA, 347 nt
Filed under: uncultured bacterium
Lineage: Bacteria
Description: bacterial SSU rRNA
Rfam family: Bacterial small subunit ribosomal RNA
Source: RNAcentral
GGGGGCCCAGCAAUGGGCAACCGGCGAACGGGUGCGUAACACGUGAGCAACCUACCGAACUGUGGGGGAUAGCCGGCCUAACGGCCGAGUAAUACCGCAUACGCUCUCAGAGAGGCAUUUCAUUGAGAGGAAACCUACGGGACAGAUCGAGGGGCUCGUGGCCUAUCAGCUAGUUGGCGAGGUAACGGCUCACCAAGGCAACGACGGGUAGCUGGUCUGAGAGGAUGGCCAGCCACAUUGGGACUGAGAUACGGCCCAGACUCCUACGGGAGGCAGCAGUGGGGAAUCUUGCGCAAUGGCCUAACGGCUGACGCAGCGACGCCGCGUGUGGGAUGAAGCUCCUCGGA